AUUGAACGCUGGCGGCAUGCUUUACACAUGCAAGUCGAACGGCAGCGCGGGCUUCGGCCUGGCGGCGAGUGGCGAACGGGUGAGUAAUGCAUCGGAACGUGCCCAGUAGUGGGGGAUAGCCCGGCGAAAGCCGGAUUAAUACCGCAUACACCCUGCGGGGGAAAGCGGGGGACCGAAAGGCCUCGCGCUAUUGGAACGGCCGAUGUCGGAUUAGCUAGUUGGUGGGGUAAAGGCUUACCAAGGCGACGAUCCGUAGCUGGUCUGAGAGGACGACCAGCCACACUGGGACUGAGACACGGCCCAGACUCCUACGGGAGGCAGCAGUGGGGAAUUUUGGACAAUGGGGGCAACCCUGAUCCAGCCAUGCCGCGUGCGGGAAGAAGGCCUUCGGGUUGUAAACCGCUUUUGUUCGGGAAGAAAUCCUCUGGGCUAAUACCCCGGGGGGAUGACGGUACCGGAAGAAUAAGCACCGGCUAACUACGU
Molecule: ribosomal RNA, 483 nt
Filed under: uncultured bacterium
Lineage: Bacteria
Description: partial 16S ribosomal RNA
Rfam family: Bacterial small subunit ribosomal RNA
Source: RNAcentral